GAUGAAGAACGUAGUGAAAUGCGAUAAGUAAUGUGAAUUGCAGAAUUCAGUGAAUCAUCGAAUCUUUGAACGCACAUUGCGCCCUCUGGUAUUCCGGAGGGCAUGCCUGUUCGAGCGUCAUUAUAACCACUCAAGCUCUCGCUUGGUAUUGGGGUUCGCGGUUCCGCGGCCCCUAAAAUCAGUGGCGGUGCCUGUCGGCUCUACGCGUAGUAAUACUCCUCGCGAUUGAGUCCGGUAGGUCUACUUGCCAGCAACCCCCAAUUUUUACAGGUUGACCUCGGAUCAGGUAGGGAUACCCGCUGAACUUAAGCAUAUCAAUAAGCGGAGGA
Molecule: unclassified non-coding RNA, 329 nt
Filed under: soil metagenome
Description: partial contains 5.8S ribosomal RNA, internal transcribed spacer 2, and large subunit ribosomal RNA
Rfam family: 5.8S ribosomal RNA (bases 1-120)
Source: RNAcentral